Molecule: ribosomal RNA, 286 nt
Filed under: Serratia ureilytica
Lineage: Bacteria; Pseudomonadati; Pseudomonadota; Gammaproteobacteria; Enterobacterales; Yersiniaceae
Description: partial 16S ribosomal RNA
Rfam family: Bacterial small subunit ribosomal RNA
Source: RNAcentral
CCCGCAACGAGCGUAACCCUUAUCCUUUGUUGCCAGCGGUUAGGCCGGGAACUCAAAGGAGACUGCCAGUGAUAAACUGGAGGAAGGUGGGGAUGACGUCAAGUCAUCAUGGCCCUUACGACCAGGGCUACACACGUGCUACAAUGGCAUAUACAAAGAGAAGCGACCUCGCGAGAGCAAGCGGACCUCAUAAAGUAUGUCGUAGUCCGGAUUGGUGUCUGCAACUCGACUCCAUGAAGUCGGAAUCGCUAGUAAUCGUAGAUCAGAAUGCUACGGUGAAUACGUU